GCGCCGCGGCGCUGGUGUUUUUGUGGUUCUUUGUCGAAUAGUUGUCGCGGCACGUAUCUCGGUCGGUCGAGACGUGUAGAGCUCGCGGUCGGAGUUCGUGAGGCGGACAAAAAAAAAAGGAGGGUGCAUGAGGAUACAUGGGAUUGUGGGUGAGACAAUGAGGGGACAAGAAUAGAGGUGGAAUAUGAAAGGUGCUCUGGGAAUUUUAGCGAAGAUUCACAAUGUAAUGGUGAUGGCUUAGAUAGGAUAUGUACAAAUUUGUCGAUAUUUUUCAGUUGUGUUGUAGUAGGGCAUGAACAAAGGUAAAGUCUAAGAUGGAUGGUCUUUUAGUUAACGCAUAUCACUUAGAGACUAUUCUACUACAAUAGUUAAGACAACAAGAACUCUUGAUCAUUAGUGCACCAAAAAUUUUUUUUAUACCCUUCUUUCCUUUUCUCCACCUCCAUGUAACAAAAUUUCCUUUAAUAAACGUUAAGAGUCGACUCUGACCCGUUGUUAUGCGUAGCAACUAUGUUUCCCUUUCCUCCAUUCUCUCUCUUCCACAUCAUCAAUUUUACUUGCAUGGGAACGAAGAGAAUCCGUUAUUACACACCGUUGUACAUGCCCUUACAAUUUC
This 616-nucleotide small RNA is filed under the name Oryza sativa Japonica Group (Japanese rice). RNAcentral describes it as "sRNA Os02g0781350". The record is from RNAcentral. Lineage: Eukaryota; Viridiplantae; Streptophyta; Magnoliopsida; Poales; Poaceae.